GGCCGUCUAGCUCAGUUGGUUAGAGCGUCGUGCUAAUAUCGCGGUCUAAUUUGUGGCCAUAUUACGCGAAGGUCUUGGGUUCGACCCCCACGAUGGCCA
Non-coding RNA from Roridomyces roridus, 99 nucleotides. NCBI's taxonomy places the organism in Eukaryota, Fungi, Basidiomycota, Agaricomycetes, Agaricales, Mycenaceae. The record is from the annotation of a GenBank genome assembly.